AACGAACGCUGGCGGCAUGCCUAACACAUGCAAGUCGAACGAAGUCUUCGGACUUAGUGGCGCACGGGUGCGUAACGCGUGGGAAUCUGCCCUUGGGUGCGGAAUAACUUCUCGAAAGGGAUGCUAAUACCGCAUAAUGUCGUAAGACCAAAGAUUUAUCGCCCAAGGAUGAGCCCGCGUAAGAUUAGCUAGUUGGUGGGGUAAAAGCCUACCAAGGCGACGAUCUUUAGCUGGUCUGAGAGGAUGAUCAGCCACACUGGGACUGAGACACGGCCCAGACUCCUACGGGAGGCGGCAGUGGGGGAAUAUUGGACAAUGGGCGAAAGCCUGAUCCAGCAAUGCCGCGUGAGUGAUGAAGGCCCUAGGGUUGUAAAGCCCUGUCGCAGGGGAAGAAUAAGCAUCGGUAUAAUACGCCGGUGCCCUGACGGUACCCUGCAAGAAAGCACCGGCUAACUCCGUGCCAGCAGCCGCGGUAAU
This 477-nucleotide ribosomal RNA is filed under the name uncultured bacterium. RNAcentral's name for it is "bacterial SSU rRNA". It matches the Rfam family "Bacterial small subunit ribosomal RNA", at positions 29 to 524 of the family's 1533-position model. The record is from RNAcentral.